UACGUAGGGUGCGAGCGUUAAUCGGAAUUACUGGGCGUAAAGUGUGCGCAGGCGGCAGAGCAAGUCGAGUGUGAAAGCCCCGGGCUUAACUUGGGAACUGCAUUGGUGACUGGCAGGCUAGAGUAUGGCAGAGGGGGGUAGAAUUCCACGUGUAGCAGUGAAAUGCGUAGAGAUGUGGAGGAAUACCGAUGGCGAAGGCAGCCCCCUGGGCCAAUACUGACGCUCAUGCACGAAAGCGUGGGGAGCAAACAGG
Molecule: ribosomal RNA, 253 nt
Filed under: uncultured bacterium
Lineage: Bacteria
Description: partial 16S ribosomal RNA
Rfam family: Bacterial small subunit ribosomal RNA
Source: RNAcentral